Molecule: ribosomal RNA, 951 nt
Filed under: Triticum aestivum (bread wheat)
Lineage: Eukaryota; Viridiplantae; Streptophyta; Magnoliopsida; Poales; Poaceae
Description: partial small subunit ribosomal RNA
Source: RNAcentral
AUGUCGGGAUCCUCCGUCGUGUGGCCGCACACGCGCGCAGCCCUCCUCCACCGCCCAGCCGACAAGGCCCAUCGUGACGGCCAGCCCAGGCUGCUCCCCGCCGCGGCAUGGAGGUGGCGGUGUAUGAGGUGGUGCUGCGGCGCGGACGGUGAUGGAGGAGGCGGUGUACGAGGUGGUGCUGCGGCAGGCCACCUAGGGUUUGCGCCUCCUCCCUCCGCCCCCAUCACACAAGCCGCAUCGAGGAGGACGACGCCGACCUCGGACCGUCGGAAGCACCAUGGAGAAGUACGAGAAGCUGGAGAAGGUCGGGGAGGGCACCUACGGCAAGGUGUACAAGGCGCAGGACAAGGCGACGGGCCAGGUGGUGGCGCUCAAGAAGACCCGCCUGGAGAUGGACGAGACGACGAAGGGAUCCCGACCACCGCGCUCCGUGAGAUCUCCCUCCUCCGCCUCCUCUCCAGCUCCCUCUACAUCGUCCGCCUCCUCGCCGUCGAGCAGGCCACCAAGGGCGGCGGCGCUGGCGGUGGAGGGAAGCCCGUCCUCUACCUCGUCUUCGAGUUCCUUGACACUGACCUCAAGAAGUUUGUCGACGCCUACUGCCGUGGGCCUGCCCCUAAGCCGCUCCCAACUCAGGUCGUCAAGGCACUUGAGCUAUUUACAGAAGAAGGGACCCGGCCUUCUUCAUGUCUUGUGGUAGUGUCUUCCUUUGAUUCAUUCGUGCAACAAAGAGGGGACCUGGCCUUCUUCACGUCUCGUGCAAAAAGGGUGAUUGACACUGACUACGACAGCCUGGUGGGCGUCGUGCUCUUCAACUACUUAGAGGUGGACUUCGACGUGAAGCCCAGCGACCGCGUCGCACGGAUGAUCGUCCAUGUGAUCACUCAUGGCACGGUGGAGGACCUCGACGCCAUCUUUCAGGGUGAGGGAGGAUCCGGGUCCUCCGGCGUCUGA